RNAcentral lists this ribosomal RNA (350 nucleotides) under uncultured bacterium. RNAcentral describes it as "bacterial SSU rRNA". It matches the Rfam family "Bacterial small subunit ribosomal RNA", at positions 917 to 1264 of the family's 1533-position model. The record is from RNAcentral.
GGACCCGCACAAGUAGUGGAGCAUGUGGUUUAAUUCGAAGAUACGCGCAGAACCUUACCAACACUUGACAUGUUCGUCGCGACUCUAAGAGAUUAGAGUUUUCGGUUCGGCCGGACGAAACACAGGUGCUGCAUGGCUGUCGUCAGCUCGUGUCGUGAGAUGUUGGGUUAAGUCCCGCAACGAGCGCAACCCUCACUUUUAGUUGCCAUCAUUUAGUUGGGCACUCUGAAAGAACUGCCAGUGAUAAGCUGGAGGAAGGUGGGGAUGACGUCAAGUCCUCAUGGCCCUUACGUGUUGGGCUACACACGUGCUACAAUGGUAUUUACAACAGGAAGCAAGACGGCGACGUU